RNAcentral lists this small RNA (559 nucleotides) under Pan troglodytes (chimpanzee). RNAcentral describes it as "retained intron". The record is from RNAcentral. Lineage: Eukaryota; Metazoa; Chordata; Mammalia; Primates; Hominidae.
ACUCCGUCUCAAUAUGUCUCAAGAUGGCGGCCAAUGUGGGAUCGAUGUUUCAAUAUUGGAAGCGCUUUGAUUUACAGCAGCUGCAGAGAGAACUCGAUGCCACCGCAACGGUAUUGGCGAACCGGCAGGAUGAAAGUGAGCAGUCCAGAAAGCGGCUUAUCGAACAGAGCCGGGAGUUCAAGAAGAACACUCCAGAGGUGAGGCGCGUGACCAUCAUGUUCGCUUUGAAGGGAUCUUAGAAUGCUGGUGCAUGUUCAGGCGACGCUCCGUGAGCAUUUCAUUUUCAUCAGACGAACGCACGGCCGGCAAACAACCCGUUUCUUUCCCCAGAUGUCUUCAGCCCCAUUUCCAGCAGAACGCAUGCCAUCCUGCAGGCUGUGGGGAUGUGGAAAUUGAUAGGUUGUCUGGAAAUAUGAAAGUCAGAGCCAAUUCCAGGUGCAGAUACUGGACAAGCUUGGUCUGUAAGAACACGUGGGCAGGUGUGUGGGUGUCUCAGACCCUCGAGCUCAUCCCAGACCCUGUCCCAUGUCAGUUAGCAAGCCACCAAAGUCCAUAAGGG